CUUGUAAUAUAGAAAAGUUUCUACCAUGUGACUUGGGAAGAUGACAGUUAAGCAGCCUCAAAUUUAAAUCUUCCCAUGUCUGUGACUCCAAAGAUAAAGAGAAAAUAUACGUUACCUGAACAACUUAACAGGCACGUGGAGGACUCUGAUUGGCCCAUGGUGGACCUUGUGCUCAGCUCUGUUGGUGAAUCACUGUUGCUGGAGAGCGGCUGGCUGGAGUUUUUAUCACCAAAACCAAACUGCUGGGAGCAUUCUGAUGCCUGGGACUGUUCCUGCCUCACCCUGCUGAUCUUAAAAAGACUAUGAUGGGACCUUAUCAGUGAUUCCGCUAAACUGGUCCAAAUCAUGAGUAUCACAUAUAUACUCCCCCGUUUCUCUUCUUCCUUCAACCUUCACUAUAACCCCACUUCCUUUCUCUGACAUGUCACUGUGGAGUUGGCAGGGGGAUUAAUUGGAAAGUUGACAAAUAUAAUACAAUAAAUAGGGAAUAUUCAAACUUUGAAACAAAUGACCUCUGCUGGCUGAGCAGUUUUUUAUUUAUACAAUGAUGAUGUUAAUACUUAUACAGAAUUUGUGAGCACUGAAAUGAAAUACUUAAAGCAUUUAAAAAUACUAUUGGGGCGCCUGGGUGGCUCAGUGGGUUAAGCCGCUGCUCUGGUCAUGAUCUCGGGGUCCUGGGAUCGAGUCCCGCAUCGGGCUCUAUGCUCAGCAGGGAGCCUGCUUCCCUCUCUCUCUCUCUCUGCCUGCCUCUCCGACUACUUGUGAUCUCUCUCUGUCAAAGAAAUAAAUAAAAUCUUUUAAAAAAAAAUACUAUUGAAGGGGCACCUGGGUGGCUUAGUCAUUAAGCAUCUGCUGCCUUCAGCUGAGGUCAUGAUCUGGGAGUCCUGGGAUCAAGAUCCCUCAUGGACUCCCUGCUCAGCAGGAAGCCUGCUUCUCCCUCUCCCUACUUGUGUUCCCUCUCUCAUUGUGUCUCUCUCUGUCAAAUCAUUCAAUCAAUCAAUCUUAAAAAAAUAAAAAUAAAUAAAAAUACCAUUGAAAAUUGUAAACUAGUACAUAUUCACUGUAGAAUUUGUUUAAUUACAAAAAAGUAGAAAAAAUAAAAUAAAAAUGAUGCAUUAUUCAAAUACCUAGAGAUGGC
This 1138-nucleotide long non-coding RNA is filed under the name Mustela putorius furo (domestic ferret). RNAcentral describes it as "lncRNA (ENSMPUG00000031596.1)". The record is from RNAcentral. Lineage: Eukaryota; Metazoa; Chordata; Mammalia; Carnivora; Mustelidae.